This 82-nucleotide transfer RNA is filed under the name Perca fluviatilis (European perch). It matches the Rfam family "tRNA". Rfam says of the family: Transfer RNA (tRNA) molecules are approximately 80 nucleotides in length. Their secondary structure includes four short double-helical elements and three loops (D, anti-codon, and T loops). Lineage: Eukaryota; Metazoa; Chordata; Actinopteri; Perciformes; Percidae. The record is from Rfam by way of RNAcentral.
GACGAGGUGGCAGAGAGGUUAAGGUGAAGGACUGCUAGUUCGUUGUACCCUACACAUGUGGGUUUGAAUCCCAUCCUUGUUA